Molecule: ribosomal RNA, 316 nt
Filed under: uncultured bacterium
Lineage: Bacteria
Description: bacterial SSU rRNA
Rfam family: Bacterial small subunit ribosomal RNA
Source: RNAcentral
AUUGAACGCUGGCGGCAUGCCUAACACAUGCAAGUCGAACGGAGAUAGGGGCAACCUUAUUUCAGUGGCGGACGGGUGAGGAAUGCGUCGGAAUCUGCCCUAUGGUGGGGGAGUAACACAGGGAAACGUUAGUGCUAAUACCGCAUAAUGUCGAGAGACCAAAGACAGGGGACCGGCAAGGCCUUGCGCGAUAGGAUAAGCCGACGCCCGACUUAGCUUGUUGGUAGGGUAAGUGGCCUACCAAGGCGACGAUCGGUAGCUGGUCUGAGAGGAUGAUCAGCCACACUGGGACGUGAGACACGGCCCACGACUCCUA